Molecule: long non-coding RNA, 4332 nt
Organism: Oncorhynchus tshawytscha (Chinook salmon)
Lineage: Eukaryota; Metazoa; Chordata; Actinopteri; Salmoniformes; Salmonidae
Source: Ensembl
GGGGUAGUCUACUGGUGUUGUUCAGAUGGUCCUGUGGUGGGGUAGUCUACUGGUGUUGUUCAGAUGGUCCUGUGGUGGGGUAGUCUACUGGUGUUGUCCACAUGGUCCUGUGGUGGGGUAGUCUACUGGUGUUGUCCACAUGGUCCUGUGGUGGGGUGGUCUACUGGUGUUGUCCACAUGGUCUUGUGGUGGGGUGGUCUACUGGUGUUGUCCACAUGGUCCUGUGGUGGGGUGGUCUACUGGUGUUGUCCACAUGGUCUUGUGGUGGGGUGGUCUACUGGUGUUGUCCACAUGGUCCUGUGGUGGGGUGGUCUACUGGUGUUGUCCACAUGGUCUUGUGGUGGGGUGGUCUACUGGUGUUGUCCACAUGGUCUUGUGGUGGGGUGGUCUACUGGUGUUGUCCACAUGGUCUUGUGGUGGGGUGGUCUACUGGUGUUGUCCACAUGGUCUUGUGGUGGGGUGGUCUACUGGUGUUGUCCACAUGGUCCUGUGGUGGGGUAGUCUACUGGUGUUGUCCACAUGGUCUUGUGGUGGGGUAGUCUACUGGUGUUGUCCACAUGGUCUUGUGGUGGGGUAGUCUACUGGUGUUGUUCAGAUGGUCUUGUGGUGGGGUAGUCUACUGGUGUUGUCCACAUGGUCUUGUGGUGGGGUAGUCUACUGGUGUUGUCCACAUGGUCUUGUGGUGGGGUAGUCUACUGGUGUUGUCCACAUGGUCUUGUGGUGGGGUAGUCUACUGGUGUUGUCCACAUGGUCUUGUGGUGGGGUGGUCUACUGGUGUUGUCCACAUGGUCUUGUGGUGGGGUGGUCUACUGGUGUUGUUCAGAUGGUCUUGUGGUGGGGUAGUCUACUGGUGUUGUCCACAUGGUCUUGUGGUGGGGUAGUCUACUGGUGUUGUCCACAUGGUCUUAUGGUGGGGUGGUCUACUGGUGUUGUCCACAUGGUCUUGUGGUGGGGUAGUCUACUGGUGUUGUCCACAUGGUCUUGUGGUGGGGUGGUCUACUGGUGUUGUUCAGAUGGUCUUGUGGUGGGGUAGUCUACUGGUGUUGUCCACAUGGUCUUGUGGUGGGGUGGUCUACUGGUGUUGUCCACAUGGUCUUGUGGUGGGGUGGUAUUCAGUCUGGUUGGAUAAUGUCAUUAUCUAUAAAGGUAAGAAGUCGAUUGUUUGUUUGAAGAGAAGCUUCCAGUCUGUUUCAUCACAAUGCUCUUAACGUCUUACCAGAAACAGGCUGACAGAUUCUUCUGGAGCUGGUAUCAUCUCUGCCUCAUCUCGAAAAGGAAGGAGACCUUAGCCUUGAUUUUCAGUUUUGGCCCGAUGGCGACAUCGGGAUUUUGAAAUUCAACGGAGGGAUGCAUUUUUUGUGGGACUAAUUGUUUGUUAUAAUCAAUCAAAGAAGCCUCCCGUGUGGCGCAGUGGUCUAAGCUACUGCAUCGCAGAGCUAGAAGUGUCAUUACAGACCCGGGUUCGAUCCCAGGCUGUGUCAUAGCUGGCCGUGACUGAAAGACCCGUGAGGCAGCACAUAAUUGGCCCAUUGUUGUUUGGGUUAGGAGAGGGUUUGGCAGGCCAAGAUUUCCUUGUCCCAUCGCUCUAGUGCCUCCUGUGGCAGACCAGGCGCAUGCACGCAGACACGGUCGCCAGGUGUACGGUGUUUCCUCCGACACAUUAAAGCAGCUGGUUUCCGGGGAUAAGCGGGCAUUGUGUCAAGAAACAGUGCUGCUUGGCAGGGUCGUGUUUCGACCUUCGCCUCUCCCGAGUCCUUAGGGGAGUUGCAGCGAUGGGACAAGACUGUUACUACCAAUUCAGAUAUCAUGAAAUUGGGGAGAAAAAAGGGGUAAAAAAAUAAAAAAUAAUUAUGUCUCUUGAUCUGCUCACGGGCCAUACUUUGCCCCCCCCCUCCCCCUUGCUCUAAGGUACAUGCAGGACCUCACAGGAGCCAAGUGCAGGCACCUUAAAUGUUCAACUGCUUGAGCUCUUGUUCCUAUAUUAUCUCAAAAGUAUUGUGGAGCUCCUGCAGCUAAAUAUAAGCAGUACUGGAAACCAACAUGAGUACCGACACCUACUUCAAUCCAUGUCAAGCACUGGGUUAUAUGGAAUAGCAAUUGUCUUACUCGUGAGAAUAGGACAUCCUAUCACAGUACACUGUCACAACACAACAUGCUUGUUUGUUUGAGGCCCUUUUAUUAUUGGUAAAGACAAAACAUUUAUUGGGAAAAUGGGAUAUAAUUGUGAAAAAUGGUAUCAAAUCAAAUUGUAUUUGUCACAUGUGCCAUAUAGAACAGAUGUAGACUUUACUGUGAAAUGCUUACUGACGAGCCCUUUACCAACAAUGCAGAAUUACAAAGUAAGAAUUGAAUGGUAAAGAAAAUGCAAUUGAAUUCUGCAUCGUUCUAUUGUCUUUCUAGUAUCAAUGUUCCACCAAACUCCAUGUCAGGUCAAUAUAAUAAUAUACAUACCCUGGUCUGGCUCUUGAUAUACUCUGGUCUGGCUCUUGAUAUACCCUGGCCUGUGUGCCAGGCUCUUGAGAUACCCUGGCCUGUGUGCCAGGCUCUUGAGAUACCCCGGCCUGUGUGCCAGGCUCUUGAGAUACCCUGGCCUGUGUGCCAGGCUCUUGAGAUACCCUGGCCUGUGUGCCAGGCUCUUGAGAUACCCCGGCCUGUGUGCCAGGCUCUUGAGAUACCCUGGCCUGUGUGCCAGGCUCUUGAGAUACCCUGGCCUGUGUGCCAGGCUCUUGAGAUACCCUGGCCUGUGUGCCAGGCUCUUGAGAUACCCUGGCCUGUGUGCCAGGCUCUUGACAACUUCUUAUGGAAUUGUCUUUAAGCUUGAAAAUGACAUUGGAGUUGGCAAAAGCACAGGGACCAGGCUAUAUACAGUGCCUUCGGAAAAUAUUCAGACCCCUCGACUUUUUCCAAAUUUUGUUACGUUACACCCUUAUUCUAAAAUGUAUAAAAUAAAAAUGUACAUAAAGUACCAGUCAAACAUUUGGACACACCUACUCAUUCAAGCUUUUUUCUUUAUUUUGACUAUUUUCUACAUUGUAAAAUAAUAGUGAAGACAUCAAAACUAUGAAAUAACACACAUGGAAUCAUGUAGUAACGAAAAGUGUUAAACAAAUGAAAAUAUAUUUGAGAUUCUUCAAAGUAGCCACCCUUUGCCUUGAUGACAGUUUUGCACUCUUGGCAUUCUCUCAACCAGCUUCAUGAGGUAGUCACCUGGAAUGCAUUUCAAUUAACAGGCGUGCGCUGUUAAAAGUGAAUUUGUGAAAUUUCUUUCCUUUUUAAUGCGUUUGAGCCAAUCAGUUGUGUUGUGACAAGGUAGGGGAGGUAUACAGAAGAUAGCCCUAUCUGGUAAAAGACCAAGUCUAUAUGAUGGCAGGAACAGCUCAAAUAAGAGAAAUGACAGUCCAUCAUUAUUUUAAAACAUGAAAGUCAGUCAAUACGAAACAUUUCAAGAACUUGAUGAAACUGGCUCUCAUGAGGACCUCCACAUGAAAGGAAGACCCAGAGUUACCUCUGCUGCAGAGGAUAAGUUCAUUGGAGUGGUAUUUCAGUUUUGAUGUCUUCACUAUUAUUCUACAAUGUAGAAGAUAGUAAAAUGAAAAGAAAAACCCUUGAAUGAGUAGGUGCUCUAAAACUUUUGACCGGUAGUGUAUAUGUCUUGGACCAGGCUAUAUAUGUAUGUCUGUAUCUUUUCUGUUGACAAUUUAUCAGUGUAUCAUAUUUUCUUUAUUUCUUGAUGUGCAUAACUGUUGGCUGACCAGCCGUGCCUGACUUGGGCAGGAGCUCUGUUGGCUGACCAGCCGUGCCUGACUUGGGCAGGAGCUCUGUUUGCUGACCAGCCGUGCCUGACUUGGGCAGGAGCUCUGUUGGCUGACCAGCCGUGCCUGACUUGGGCAGGAGCUCUGUUGGCUGACCAGCCGUGCCUGACUUGGGCAGGAGCUCUGUUGGCUGACCAGCCGUGCCUGACUUGGGCAGGAGCUCACUGGAGCUGAGUACCAGCACCUCAAAUGUCCCUCUUAUCGAAUAUUAGCUGAAAUUUAUUGUGAAGCUCCUGCACCUGAAUAUAAACAGUACCGGCACCUAUUUCAGUCCAUGUCAAGCACAGCUGGGCAGCGUGGGAGGGAGGGGCUAGCGCUGUUGGUUUUAUAUAGAGAAAGAUAGCUCUGGUCCAGGUUGUGGUUUGGUAAUGUUCUCAAAGUCGCCCUGGACCAGAGCUAUAGACAUUAACACGUCCAUUAUAGAUGUAGUGUAUCUCUGCUUUGGUGAACGACAAUAUAAGCUCUUUGUCUUACUUUAUACGUUUGUACUUCUGUGAAAUAAAAGAUUAUUAUUUUAUCA